Molecule: ribosomal RNA, 168 nt
Organism: Nicotiana attenuata
Lineage: Eukaryota; Viridiplantae; Streptophyta; Magnoliopsida; Solanales; Solanaceae
Rfam family: Eukaryotic large subunit ribosomal RNA
Source: Rfam
CUUUGUGAAAUGACUUGAGAGGUGUAGUAUAAGUGGGAGCCGAAAGGCGAAAGUGAAAUACCACUACUUUUAACGUUAUUUUACUUAUUCCGUGAAUCGGAAGCGGGGCACUGCCCCUCUUUUUGGACCCAAGGCUUGCUUGCAGGCCGAUCCGGGCGGAAGACCAUG